GGCUCAGGAUGAACGCUAGCUACAGGCUUAACACAUGCAAGUCGAGGGGCAGCGAGAGGAAAGCUGCUUCCUGUCGGCGACCGGCGCACGGGUGAGUAACGCGUAUCCAACCUUCCCCAUAGUAGAGGAUAGCCCGGCGAAAGUCGGAUUAAUACUCUAUGUUGUACAACGAGGACAUCUGAAUUGUACCAAAGAUUCAUCGCUAUGGGAUGGGGAUGCGUCUGAUUAGCUUGUUGGCGGGGUAACGGCCCACCAAGGCGACGAUCAGUAGGGGUUCUGAGAGGAAGGUCCCCCACAUUGGUACUGAGACACGGACCAAACUCCUACGGGAGGCAGCAGUGAGGAAUAUUGGUCAAUGGACGAGAGUCUGAACCAGCCAAGUAGCGUGCAGGAAUGACUGCCCUAUGGGUUGUAAACUGCUUUUAUGCGGGAAUAAAGUCAGGUACGUGUACCUGUUUGUAUGUACCGCAUGAAUAAGGACCGGCUAAUUCCGUGCCAGCCGCAGC
This 506-nucleotide ribosomal RNA is filed under the name uncultured bacterium. RNAcentral describes it as "bacterial SSU rRNA". It matches the Rfam family "Bacterial small subunit ribosomal RNA", at positions 21 to 518 of the family's 1533-position model. The record is from RNAcentral.